This 296-nucleotide long non-coding RNA is filed under the name Pan troglodytes (chimpanzee). RNAcentral's name for it is "long non-coding RNA NONPTRT000046". Lineage: Eukaryota; Metazoa; Chordata; Mammalia; Primates; Hominidae. The record is from RNAcentral.
GGUGGCCGGCUGACUGGAUGAAUGGAUGAAUGGAUGGAUGCAUGGAUGGAUACAUGGAUGAAUGGUGGAUGGAUGGGUGGAUUCAUGGAUGGAUGGAUGAAUGGCUUGGUGGAUGGAUGGAUGGAUGGAUACAUGGAUGAAUGGUGAAUGGAUGGGUGGAUGGAUGAAUGGAUGCAUGGAUGAAUGAAUGGGUGGAUGGCUAAAUAGUUGAAGGAUACAUGAAUAGAUAAAAUAUGCCACCCCAGAAUACGAAGAAUUGUUGAAUUGAAUCCAACUGGGAAGAAGCAAAUACAGGA